UAGUCCACACCGUAAACGCUGUCUACUAACUGUGUGUGAAUUUAAUUCGUGCGUAGUGAAGCUAACGCGCUAAGUAGACCGCCUGGGGAGUACGGCCGCAAGGUUAAAACUCAAAUGAAUUGACGGGGGCCCGCACAAGCGGUGGAGCAUGUGGUUUAAUUCGAUGCAACGCGAAGAACCUUACCUACACUUGACAUUCAGAAAAGUUACCAGAGAUGGUUUCGUGCCUUCGGGAAUUCUGGGACAGGUGCUGCAUGGCUGUCGUCAGCUCGUGUCGUGAGAUGUUGGGUUAAGUCCCGCAACGAGCGCAACCCUUGUCCUUAUUUGCCAUCAUUAAGUUGGGCACUCUAAGGAGACUGCCGGUGACAAACCGGNGGAAGGUGGGGACGACGUCAAGUCAUCAUGGCCCUUACGUGUAGGGGCUACACACGUGCUACAAUGGACGGUACAGAGGGGAAGCGAACUUGCGAGAGUAAGCGGGACCCCUUAAAGCUGUUCGUAGUCCGGGAUUGGGAGUCUGCAACUC
RNAcentral lists this ribosomal RNA (526 nucleotides) under uncultured bacterium. Its description in RNAcentral is "bacterial SSU rRNA". It matches the Rfam family "Bacterial small subunit ribosomal RNA", at positions 791 to 1313 of the family's 1533-position model. The record is from RNAcentral.